Molecule: non-coding RNA, 2083 nt
Organism: Xyrichtys novacula (pearly razorfish)
Lineage: Eukaryota; Metazoa; Chordata; Actinopteri; Labriformes; Labridae
Source: the annotation of a GenBank genome assembly
GUGUUUGCUGCGCAGUGCAGCGCUGUAAGCGACAGUGACGCUGCGCCUGGGUAUGGGCAGUUGAAGGAGGCUUAAAGAGACAACAGCAAAAUCAUAGCAACUUGGGGGCAAAGGAAACGAAAUGAGAGAGAUACCGACGCACGAAGAAACAUGACUUCGGCUCCGUUUCGAUAACUAACAUUUAGAGGUAACAUGCUUGCCGUUUGUGGUAUCGGUGUUUUCCUACGUGUUGUGUUUUUUUGAAGACAGCGUCUCGCCGGACGUUGACGUUGUUGCUAAUGUUUCGUAGAUGCUAACUGGCUAAACGGUUAGCCUUCGAGCUAAGCGGCGAGAGAUCCCGGACAGGCAAGGCAGGCAGCCGCUGGUGUGCACUCGGUUGUUUAGGAUUAAGGAGUUGCCCAGCAGUGGUCAGGAUAACGGCUUUAACUGGGAUCUGACCUCGAAAACGAUCCCAUCAGGUGAAACGCUGGUCACUUUUAUCAGAACGUUUCUUCAGUCGAUGAGAUUAACUAAAUCUAACGUCGCCUCGGACAUUAUUAACAAACCGACCAGGUUAAUUUAGGAUAGGGAAUACCAGGCAAUCAAUAUUUUAUGCUGUUUCUUGUUACCACUUCUUCCAAAUGCAGUGGUUUGCUGAGGGUUGUUCCGCUUGUGAUCGUAUGUUGUUAACAUUUGAGCUAACGUUAUAUCCUGAGCUGGUUUUUAACAGGCGUAGGGCCAAAGUGGACGGUGUUUUUGGUUGGUGCUAGCUUGGUUAGCUUUGAGCUGCUGUGUGACGUUCCAGUAUCCGCUGUAAUGUGGAUUUAAAGCUUCACGCUCGAUGAAUAUGCCAAACGUGCUGCAUUUAUAUUAUAAAUGAACGCGUUCAAAGUUAAACAAACUAACCGCGAUUGGACAAUCAAGCUAACUACCGUCUUGGUGACCGGUGUUCUGUCGAAGAGAGCUGCCUAUGGAGAAAUGCUACUCAGUGGCUGUGCGCAUGCGAAGAGCUACAAUCCUGGGCGCUUGACGCCACUGGGAGCAUUAUUUAGAAGAGGAUAUCAUGCCAUCGAGACACAAAAAUCCCGAAAUAUUGAAUAAUACUUACCAAUAGAGUAUCCGAGGAUGAAUUCAAUUCUGUCACAGUGCAGAUGAGUUUGCAAGUUAAGCAAGUUAAAGUGAUUCUGUCCCCGAAGCAUGGUUUGAAGGGCUCAUUAUUGAAAAUUCUUAUCAUAAGUUUUAUAUUAUUGUGUCAAAGUAUGCGACCCAGAGUUAUACAGUCAAUUUGCCCUGUUCUAAAGCGAAAACACGAAUUAAUGGCGCGAACUUACAGCUGCUGCUAUCGAUUCGCGCUACGGCAGCACUUUUCAACAAAGCAGCAAAUGUCGACAGAACACCAUGGAGUAUCUGGCCUUGUCCGCCUUACCAACCAGUCUUGUUUUAACCUUAGGUCUACCGAUGGCUCAUUCGACGGGAUUUGUCUUCUAGCGUUUGUUUUCUUUUUUCCCCUCGCUGCGGAAACAUUCGUGUUGAUAUGUAAGAAAGAAACGAGGUGCUGUGAAUCAUUUGAAACUAACGCUCACUGACAGCUGGUAGGCACAGUUAGCUAGCAAUUAGCAAGCUGUAACAAGCUUAAAAUUAAGAUAUGUAUUCACCGUGGAAAAGUUAACUGAGCCAUCUCGACAAUAUACUUACAUUUAUAGUCUCUCUUUUGCACUCCGUCUGUUAUUUUACUGAUGUUUGACGUUUAGAUUUAUGUUGUGUCGUGUUAUUACAAGCUAGGUCAACCGUAUUGACUAAAACGUAAUGAUAGCGAUUUUAUCCCACAGCUACAGGCAGUUAAAAUAUAUUUGUGAGAGAUUUUAUUUGAAGUUUUUCUAUCCUAUGUGACUUCUCAAAUCAGGAGUUGAUGUAUACUUCAUCUCUGUGUUUUCAUUGUGAGUUCAGUGCAUUUGUUGCUUUUUUUAAAUAGUGAACCGUGAAAAACAACACACAACUUCCUGAAUUGAGACAGUCUAGACAUACAGGCCCAGAUUUACCAAGAAUUAUAUGUGUCAGUGUAUUACUUCCAUCUUAUUCUUACCUUUUAACCCUAACUGGAAUC